RNAcentral lists this long non-coding RNA (505 nucleotides) under Nicotiana benthamiana. RNAcentral's name for it is "long non-coding RNA (NBEN_LNC030405)". Lineage: Eukaryota; Viridiplantae; Streptophyta; Magnoliopsida; Solanales; Solanaceae. The record is from RNAcentral.
AACACACAGCCUCUCCCCUAAUUUUCCCAUCUUCUUUGCACCCCAGCACCCUCUGAAACAAAAUGACCCCCACCCCCAUCGGCUUGCCGGCUUCAGCAACAACACCCACCGGACUUCACUCCAUCUCACCCACACCAGAAAUAGUAGAAUCCACACACACCAGAAUAGAUAAAAAGAAAAGAAAAUAUGGGCGGAAAAUUCAAGCCGAUUUUUGGAAAGAACUGAAAAUGCCCUAAAUUUAGCUUUCGAUUCUCUUCUCCUUCAUCAGUUCUGUGGGUCUGAUUUAGAACAUAAACAUUUCCAGCUUCUUCUUUGAUUUCUAAUUUUAAAAGAUUAGAUUGUUCAAGGUUUCCAUUUGCCGCUGAGUCGAGGUCCAAGUCGAGUUUGCUGAGUUCGAUUAGUCAUUCAUGGUUUAGUUCGCUUUUGGAUUACAGAGCUGUAGAACAAUUGAAAGUUCAGAUCAUAUUUUAGCCUUUAUAUAGCCGGCUUGUUAUCAAAAUCCCAG